Molecule: ribosomal RNA, 224 nt
Filed under: uncultured prokaryote
Description: partial 16S ribosomal RNA
Rfam family: Bacterial small subunit ribosomal RNA
Source: RNAcentral
UACAGAGGGUGCUAGCGUUAAUCGGAUUUACUGGGCGUAAAGCGUGUGUAGGCGGUUUGUUAAGUCGGGUGUGAAAUCCCUGGGCUCAACCUGGGAAUUGCAUUCGAUACUGGCAAGCUAGAGUACGGUAGAGGGCGGCGGAAUUCCGGGUGUAGCGGUGAAAUGCGUAGAUAUCCGGAGGAACACCGAUGGCGAAGGCAACCGCCUGGGCCUGUACUGACGCU